Molecule: ribosomal RNA, 243 nt
Filed under: uncultured bacterium
Lineage: Bacteria
Description: partial 16S ribosomal RNA
Rfam family: Bacterial small subunit ribosomal RNA
Source: RNAcentral
CGACCGGCGCACGGGUGAGUAACGCGUAUCCAACCUGCCCACCACUUGGGGAGUAACCUUGCGAAAGUAAGACUAAUACCCAAUGAUAUCUCUAGAAGACAUCUGAAAGAGAUUAAAGAUUUAUCGGUGAUGGAUGGGGAUGCGUCUGAUUAGCUUGUUGGCGGGGUAACGGCCCACCAAGGCGACGAUCAGUAGGGGUUCUGAGAGGAAGGUCCCCCACAUUGGAACUGAGACACGGUCCAA